This is a long non-coding RNA of Passer montanus (Eurasian tree sparrow), 290 nucleotides long. RefSeq lists it as uncharacterized. Lineage: Eukaryota; Metazoa; Chordata; Aves; Passeriformes; Passeridae. The transcript has 2 exons. The record is from RefSeq and is a predicted model, not a curated record.
UUUUGUUGCAGUCGGUGGUUCGGGCGAGCGGCUGCGGCGCUUUCGGAUGCUGCUGCGAGCCUCGUGAAGGUUUUACGGCAGGAGGGGGAGGAGGAAGAGGAGGGCCGGGUCUGCAGGGCACAAAGCCGGGCAGGAAUGGCCCCAGCGCAGCCGCUGCGCGCUGAGAGGGAGCGAGGGCGAGCCCCACUGGAAAAAAAAUAUCUGGGGUGAGAAAAAAAACAAACCCAGAUAGUAAAAAAAAAAAAGAAAAAAUUUAAAAACUAUCUUUCUUUUAAAAUUGAAAAAAAAAA